GACGGACCCGCACAAGCGUGGAUCAUGUUGUUUAAUUCGAUGAUACGCGAAGAACCUUACCAGGUCUUGACAUCCCCCGCGAUGCUUUAGAGAUAAAGCGGAGGUAUUCGGGGAGACAGGUGGUGCAUGGUUGUCGUCAGCUCGUGUCGUGAGAUGUUGGGUUAAGUCCCGCAACGAGCGCAACCCCUAUUGCUAGUUACCAUCAUUAAGUUGGGGACUCUAGCGAGACUGCCAGUGAUAAACUGGAGGAAGGUGGGGAUGACGUCAAAUCAUCAUGCCCCUUAUGACCUGGGCUACAAACGUGAUACAAUGGCUGGAACAAAGGGAUGCGAAGCAGUGAUGUGGAGCGAAACCCAUAAAAACAGUCUCAGUUCGGAUUGCAGGCUGAAACUCGCCUACAUGAAGUUGGAGUUGCUAGUAAUCGCGAAUCAGAAUGUCGCGGUGAAUGCGUUCCCGGGUCUU
Molecule: ribosomal RNA, 462 nt
Filed under: uncultured Acholeplasma sp.
Lineage: Bacteria; Bacillati; Mycoplasmatota; Mollicutes; Acholeplasmatales; Acholeplasmataceae
Description: bacterial SSU rRNA
Rfam family: Bacterial small subunit ribosomal RNA
Source: RNAcentral